UUUCCGUAGGUGAACCCGCGGAAGGAUCAUUAAUGAGUUGUCAUGGGGUUCGAUGCUGGCAGCCAGUUUUUGGAUGCAUGUGCUUGCCCUAACAAUCAUCUUCUUCCAAACACCUGUGCACAUUUUUGAGGGAGUCUUGAGUUGGUUGCCGCUCUUGGGUGAUUUUCUCACAUUCCCUUAAAUCAUUAUACGCUAUUAACAAUGUUGAACGUGCUCUGUGCCGCAAGGCCAUUAAUAUAAUACAACUUUUAACAACGGAUCUCUUGGCUCUC
This 272-nucleotide unclassified non-coding RNA is filed under the name plant metagenome. Its description in RNAcentral is "partial contains small subunit ribosomal RNA, internal transcribed spacer 1, and 5.8S ribosomal RNA". The record is from RNAcentral.